This 251-nucleotide ribosomal RNA is filed under the name uncultured bacterium. RNAcentral describes it as "partial 16S ribosomal RNA". It matches the Rfam family "Bacterial small subunit ribosomal RNA", at positions 337 to 584 of the family's 1533-position model. The record is from RNAcentral.
ACCUACGGGAGGCAGCAGUGAGGAAUAUUGGUCAAUGGGCGGAAGCCUGAACCAGCCAAGUCGCGUGAGGGACUGAGGCCCUGCGGGUCGUAAACCUCUUUUGCCGGGGAGCAGUGGUCCGGACGCGUCCGGACCGGGAGAGUACCCGGAGAAAAAGCAUCGGCUAACUCCGUGCCAGCAGCCGCGGUAAUACGGAGGAUGCGAGCGUUAUCCGGAUUUAUUGGGUUUAAAGGGUGCGUAGGCGGGCAUUU